AUACGUAGGGGGCAAGCGUUAUCCGGAUUUACUGGGUGUAAAGGGAGCGUAGACGGAAUGGCAAGUCUGAUGUGAAAGGCCGGGGCUCAACCCCGGGACUGCAUUGGAAACUGUCAGGCUAGAGUGCAGGAGGGGUAAGCGGAAUUCCUAGUGUAGCGGUGAAAUGCGUAGAUAUUAGGAGGAACACCGGUGGCGAAGGCGGCUUACUGGACUGUAACUGACGUUGAGGCUCGAAAGCGUGGGGAGCAAACAGGAUUAGAUACCCUGGUAGUCCACGCUGUAAACGAUGAAUACUAGGUGUGGGGGGACUGACCCCCUCCGUGCCGCAGUUAACACAAUAAGUAUUCCACCUGGGGAGUACGAUCGCAAGAUUGAAACUCGAAGGAAUUGACGGGG
This 396-nucleotide ribosomal RNA is filed under the name uncultured bacterium. RNAcentral describes it as "partial 16S ribosomal RNA". It matches the Rfam family "Bacterial small subunit ribosomal RNA", at positions 523 to 918 of the family's 1533-position model. The record is from RNAcentral.